This 1118-nucleotide ribosomal RNA is filed under the name gamma proteobacterium MH179. RNAcentral describes it as "bacterial SSU rRNA". It matches the Rfam family "Bacterial small subunit ribosomal RNA", at positions 36 to 1151 of the family's 1533-position model. The record is from RNAcentral. Lineage: Bacteria; Pseudomonadati; Pseudomonadota; Gammaproteobacteria.
CUGCGGCAGGCUUAAACAUGCAAGUCGAACGAAGAGUUGGUGCUUGCACUAACACUUAGUGGCGAACGGGUGAGUAAUACUUGGGAAUCUGCCUUGUAGCGGGGGAUAACGUUUCGAAAGGAACGCUAAUACCGCAUACGUCCUACGGGAGAAAGGAGGGGAUCUUCGGACCUUCCACUAUAAGAUGAGCCCAAGCGAGAUUAGCUAGUUGGUAAGGUAAAGGCUUACCAAGGCGACGAUCUCUAGCUGGUCUGAGAGGAUGAUCAGCCACACUGGGACUGAGACACGGCCCAGACUCCUACGGGAGGCAGCAGUGGGGAAUAUUGGACAAUGGGCGAAAGCCUGAUCCAGCCAUGCCGCGUGUGUGAAGAAGGCCUUCGGGUUGUAAAGCACUUUAAGCGAGGAGGAAUGGCUCUGGGUUAAUACCCUUGAGCAGUGACGUUACUCGCAGAAUAAGCACCGGCUAACUCUGUGCCAGCAGCCGCGGUAAUACAGAGGGUGCAAGCGUUAAUCGGAAUUACUGGGCGUAAAGCGCGCGUAGGCGGUUACGUAAGUUGGAGGUGAAAUCCCCGAGCUCAACUUGGGAAUUGCCUUCAAAACUGCGUGGCUAGAGUGUGGGAGAGGAAGGUAGAAUUCCAGGUGUAGCGGUGAAAUGCGUAGAUAUCUGGAGGAAUACCGAUGGCGAAGGCAGCCUUCUGGCCUAACACUGACGCUGAGGUGCGAAAGCAUGGGGAGCAAACAGGAUUAGAUACCCUGGUAGUCCAUGCCGUAAACGAUGUCUACUAGCCGUUGGGGGACUUGAUCCUUUAGUGGCGCAGCUAACGCAUUAAGUAGACCGCCUGGGGAGUACGGUCGCAAGACUAAAACUCAAAUGAAUUGACGGGGGCCCGCACAAGCGGUGGAGCAUGUGGUUUAAUUCGAUGCAACGCGAAGAACCUUACCUGGCCUUGACAUGUCUGGAAUCCUGUAGAGAUACGGGAGUGCCUUCGGGAAUCAGAACACAGGUGCUGCAUGGCUGUCGUCAGCUCGUGUCGUGAGAUGUUGGGUUAAGUCCCGCAACGAGCGCAACCCUUGUCCUUAGUUGCCAGCACGUAAUGGUGGCAACUCUAGGGAGACUG